GAGGGAUGCGAAGGGAGAAUUGUGCUUCUAAUUCCAGCAUUGUGGUGGAAUAAAAGAGCACAGCAUUGCAGCUGUUGAAUAUAGGCAGUUUUUUCUUUUUAUAGGCAGUUUUAAGAAGAAUGCAUUGAUUCUACAACGUGCUAUUGUGAAGCCAUCCGGGACUGUUCACUCACUCAUUUAAGAAAGGUGUAUUUUCCACUUGAGGCAGAGAAGCCUUCAGAGAAGGAUCCUGACUCGGUGGUUUGUGCAGUGACAUUUGGCAGUGUUUUCUCGGCAAGCGAGUCUUUGAGGCUGCCCUCAUGCUGCUCAGUGGGCACACCAAGAACAAGAGCUGGCCAGGGAUGACGGACGCAUCUAGGCCUUCUCGGCCUAAGGGUUACAUUAGUUAUACACUCUGGAGGUGACUUGACCUGUCAUUGUGAACAAUUAUUGCUCUUGGACGACCCAGGACAUAGGCCAGCCAGUACGUACCCCAGUGUGUUGGAGAAUCGCGCUCGGCUUCUUCCUCUGUGCUGAGUCAUGAAAGUUGCCGGAGCAGGUGCAGUUACACAACCUCCAGGUAUGAUCCUGUUUAAGGACUGGAUUUAGGAUAACUACUUAGAGGUUAAAAGUCACAAGGGUGUAUGGAUGAGGCUGGAGUGAUCUGGGACCAAAGACAUCUAGGCUUGCUGUCAAGGCUUCUGAUCAACAUGAGAUGACCGCCGUGUGGUAAACUGAUGAACCCUGACCCUGAUCAACAUGAGAUGACCGCCGUGUGGUAAACUGAUGAACCCCGACCCUGAUGAACGUGAGAUGACCGCCGUGUGGUAAACUGAUGAACCCCGACCCUGAUGAACGUGAGAUGACCGCCGUGUGGUAAACUGAUGAACCCCGACCCUGAUGAACGUGAGAUGACCGCCGUGUGGUAAACUGAUGAACCCCGACCCUGAUGAACGUGAGAUGACCGCCGUGUGGUAAACUGAUGAACCCCGACCCUGAUCAACGUGAGAUGACCGCCGUGUGGUAAACUGAUGAACCCCGACCCUGAUGAACAUGAGAUGACCGCCGUGUGGUAAACUGAUGAACCCCGACCCUGAUCAACAUGAGAUGACCGCCGUGUGGUAAACUGAUGAACCCCGACCCUGAUCAACAUGAGAUGACUGCCGUGUGGUAAACUGAUGAACCCUGACCCAUUAGGCUUUGGCUACAGAAUGUGGAAAUAAGUUGUGUUACUACAUGUGUGUAAUCCUAGGGUGCAGGACACCGGCCGGGAGGUUCCAUAGAGUGAUGGGUUCUGCAGGUAACUCAUCCUCUAGUCCUCUGUAAGCUCCUAGAAGGAAGAAAUUAUGUCCUUUAGACUAAUAAAAUUCCUCCAAACCAAAUACAGCACCUACUGUGAAGACACAAAGAUACUUUUAGAAUAGUAAAAACUUUAUCCAUUGAGAAAUUCCUUAAUGAAACAGUAUCCAAGAAGUCAUUUGCCAGCAGAUUUCUUAGAGGUGCGAUAAAGAAGAGGACAUUGCCAGUCGUCACAGCAGCUGCAAUAGCUCCUCUCUAUUGUUAAACAGUGGGAUAUCUUGUGCAGGUUUUCAGUUGACAAUCAAUUUUAAAGAUUAGUUUCGGUCCCCAUCAAUCAAUUAUUUAUUAACCCAUCAAUAAAAAUUUAAAUGCUCUGUGAGGUACAAUAGCUAUUAAAAGAGACAGAGGCACUUUCUGUGUCCAGAGGGGCUUUUAGUCUGCUCUGGAAAGCAAGAUGCGUGCAGAUGAGUGACGCAGUGCAUCGUGUGGAUGCAAAGGGAGGGACUCACAUGGGAACCAGAGGAGCUACGAAGGGAGGCAGUGGGGACUGGUGGGUCGAGACCUGGAAAUAACACAUGAAUAGGCAACAAAGGUUUCCUUUCCUCUUCCAUGCACUUCAGUCCUUGAAAAACGUCUUACCACGGAAUUCCACAGCGUACCAAGCGAUUCCACAGCUUGAUGGCACACUCUCCUUUCUCAGCAUUCUUGAAAAUGGCGUGUGAGCCAAGCCAUCUUACUGAGAAAUUACCUUAAACCAUUUGAUGAACCAAAAAUAUUUUGUAAUACCCAUCUCCG
RNAcentral lists this long non-coding RNA (2073 nucleotides) under Homo sapiens (human). Its description in RNAcentral is "non-protein coding LINC01128:97". The record is from RNAcentral. Lineage: Eukaryota; Metazoa; Chordata; Mammalia; Primates; Hominidae.